AUUGAACGCUGACGGCAGGCCUAACACAUGCAAGUCGAGCGGAUGAAGGGAGCUUGCUCCUGGAUUCAGCGGCGGACGGGUGAGUAAUGCCUAGGAAUCUGCCUGGUAGUGGGGGAUAACGUCCGGAAACGGGCGCUAAUACCGCAUACGUCCUGAGGGAGAAAGUGGGGGAUCUUCGGACCUCGCGCUAUCAGAUGAGCCUAGGUCGGAUUAGCUAGUUGGUGGGGUAAAGGCCUACCAAGGCGACGAUCCGUAACUGGUCUGAGAGGAUGAUCAGUCACACUGGAACUGAGACACGGUCCAGACUCCUACGGGAGGCAGCAGUGGGGAAUAUUGGACAAUGGGCGAAAGCCUGAUCCAGCCAUGCCGCGUGUGUGAAGAAGGUCUUCGGAUUGUAAAGCACUUUAAGUUGGGAGGAAGGGCAGUAAGUUAAUACCUUGCUGUUUUGACGUUACCAACAGAAUAAGCACCGGCUAACUUCAUG
Molecule: ribosomal RNA, 484 nt
Filed under: uncultured bacterium
Lineage: Bacteria
Description: partial 16S ribosomal RNA
Rfam family: Bacterial small subunit ribosomal RNA
Source: RNAcentral